CGAAGGGCUGGAGGCAAACACCGAGUUCCCCCAGAGCCGCCCGGGAGCAGGGAGGGCUCCGCCACCCCGGGGGGCCCUCCCCGCGGGGCAGAUGAGUUCAGAAUGCAGAAUCUCUGAGCUGUAUUUUCGGGUCCCCCAAGCAUUCCAUCCUCUCGACUCUCCAUAAACUUUUGGACUCAUAACCCACUCCAUACUUGAGAAAAUGGGGAUUGGAAUAAGGUAUGUCCAACAUGCUGAGGGUGCAGAGGUGAAUCAGAGGAUGCACUGUUAGUGGGGGAGAUGGACAGAGCUGCCACCUUCACAGAAGCUGCUGGUUCAAGACAAACUGAGGAGGGUGACCAGAAGACACUCCUAUCUUUUCAAUAUGGCACAUCACCACCCUAUGUUUAGAGGGUGAACUUCAGAGCACAGAAUUUAAAGAUGAAAGGAACGUAAGAGGAUACAUGAGUCAAGUUUUCUAUAUGUGUCUCCCUUGUAGAUCAUACCUGAUAGUCAUCCAGACUGACCUGAGAAUUUUCCAAUGACAAAAAUAUCCUACCUUUUUCAUUUUUAUGCUGAUAGAUGAGUAUUUAGAGCACAAAAAGUGUUCAAUCACAAGGCCAAAAAGGAAAAAAAAUUCCUAAUCCUGCCACCCUUUAAAAUAUCAACUAUUUUUAACUUUUAUUACUAUGUUACUGAUCCAGGACCCCCCAGUCUCAAGUAAAUACAACCAUUUAGGGUCCAUGAGGAAUGUAAAGGAGCUGAACCAUUGGGCUUAAAGACAUUUUGGAGAUUUUAUUUGUCCAUGGUACCAAUCAUACCAUGAGAGUCAGAUCUUGCAAAGAAAAGUUGUGUAUAGAAUUUAGAACCCUCAGUAGCACAGUGUUUUCUGAAUCUCUUCCUAAUCAUGCCCUUUUGUCACUCUGACACCCGUACAAUAAAAGAAAAUUUCUGAGAUUAUCUUAUUGAGGGAUCUUUCCAACAUUUACACAUACUAUCUAACAAUGUGUUCCCAAGUUGCCUGAAUUGUACCAUGUGAUGGGAUUCUUUUCAAAGGAAACUGGAGAGUUCAGCAGUAUUCUGAAACAACUAGGUGUGGCAACACAAAGAACAAAAAUAACGAAAGAAAACCCUUCAAAGAUAGUGUGCCCCCUGGAAACAGACAGUCUGCCUUUUCACUUUGGGCAUAUGGGAGAUUCUUUUAAGCUGAGUUGUAAGGGUGAAAGGGCUGUUGAGUUUUGGCGAAGCAAAUUUAGAAAAUCAGUUAGCUAAUAGAGAGGGUAGAAGACUGUGAACUAUAAUUUUGGCUAAGUGAAUAGAAUAGGUUUCUUUAAUGAUAAUUAUUUUUAAUGAAUUUUUGUAAAGAGAAACUAUUGAA
Molecule: non-coding RNA, 1357 nt
Organism: Odocoileus virginianus texanus
Lineage: Eukaryota; Metazoa; Chordata; Mammalia; Artiodactyla; Cervidae
Source: RefSeq, a predicted model, not a curated record